RNAcentral lists this long non-coding RNA (5403 nucleotides) under Citrus x clementina. RNAcentral's name for it is "Citrus clementina (C. clementina) long non-coding RNA (CCLE_LNC005169)". The record is from RNAcentral. Lineage: Eukaryota; Viridiplantae; Streptophyta; Magnoliopsida; Sapindales; Rutaceae.
AGGUAGCCAAAAUUUUUUAUCUAAACGCUUAAUAUGAAGAAAUUACUAAUGAAAUACUAUUGAGAAUUAGAAGCACUUAUUUCAAUAAAUCUCAAAUCUUAAAAGUAUUUUUAUAGGUAAAAAGAUCAUAACUAAUAGAUUUUCAUACCUAAUUUGAAGCAAUAAUUAAAAUUCAAAUAAUUUGGUCUUAAGAUUGUUGGAAAUAUGAGUUCUAUAAGUUCUAUAAAACUGUUGUGAAGUGCACUUCAAGUACAUAAAAUUUAGAACAAUAGUAGAAAAUUGAUGAAGAAAAUAUUAGAUAGAAGUAGAGAGCAUUAAUUUAAGCAGUUGGAUAUUUUCUUCUCAACAGUCAUCAUUAAAGGCUUGCAUGUUUCCAUUAUGAAGAAAAACUUUUUAUAAUUCAAUUUAAAUUAGUCAUUCAUGUGUCCCAUAUUUUAGUUCAACUUAGAUAAUACAAAUCUCUUGUAAAUUUGACUUCUUCAACUUUAAUUUAUAAUUGAAUCAAAUCAAACACAUGAUUAAUUUCAAAUCAAACAGAAAAAAAAAACUUCUUUCACUUCCCUUCAAAAUAUUAAUAUAUUGAAAUAUCAAUAUAAUUCAAACAACAUCUUUUUUUUUAACCCUUUGGUUCCUAGCAUGAUAUUGUAAAUUAAAUGCUUGUAUUCAUAUCCUUUGGCCAAACUUGGGAUAAUUUUCACUUAUGUCAAAAUCGUGUUAUAAUAAAAGUUAUAUAGAACUUAACGAGUUCAAUUCUAAGCUUACAUCCACGGACAUAAAAUAAAUAUUUUCACUAUUGAUAUAUGCCUAUAAUAUUUGUUGUUAGUAAUAUUUUUUAUUUACUCUAAGAAAGGCAUUCUAUCCAUAGCAAUAUGUAGAUAAGAAGAAAUUUGAAUUUAAACUCUUAUUAGUAAUCCAUAUCACUUAGGAUUUGGAUGAUAUUAUAACUUUGUCUAUAUUCCUAUUUAUCUAAACCAAUCUCCAAUGAUGUGUUUAUUCCCAGUAAUCAAAAUGGUUUUAUGAAAUCGGAAUCAAUGAUGCAUUUACUCAUAAAUUUGAAGCUUGAAAUCGAAACAAAAUUCAUGUGAGGCCCUUAAAUUUAGGAAUCAUUCCUAGAGUUUUGACUCCCAAAGGGUUGAACCAGAAUCUUAUUCCUAAGAUUGGCAAAAAUACCCUCAUUCAAGUUUCUAAAUUCCUACUUUGUCAUAAUUAAUUCACAAAAAUAUAAAAGAAAAAAAUCAAACUGCUCAUUAUAAUUUUGAUUCCUGCAGCUUAAGUAAACAAAUUGUUGCGAUUCUCAUUCUUCAUUCUAAUUUCACCUCAUUCUUAUUCUAGCCUAUUUCCAUUCCAGCCCAUUUCAAUUAUCAAUUGGUAAACACACCAUGAAUUCUUUCAUUUCAUGUAUUGGAUUAAACCUGAACCAAGCUCCUAAGUUUUUAUAGCCUAGCUAAACCAAUCUCGUCACUAAAAUCUUAAUUAAUAGGUCAAGUUGGACCAAAGUCCUCUCUAUGUGGACUUUGACUAAGGGCAAAUCUAGAAAUUAUAUGAAAACUUAAUGAUUUUACAUUUUAGAAAUUUUUUUUAGUAAGAAUAAAAGUUAUAUUAUCUUCAAAUGAUAAUCUAUUGGUGAAAUUCUAACUAAGCAAUCCUAGAGGGGAUGAAUCAAUUUUUUUUUUAGAAAUAAAUUAAGCAAAUAAAAGUAACAAUCUAAACUAAUGGCUUAAAAGUUUCAAUAAUAGUAAAAUUACCAAUCAAUAAAUUUAAAGAGAUAAGGGAGGAGAGCAAACACGAUAUUUUUACGUGGUUCAGUAAAGUCUGCCUAUGUCUUUGCCUCCAAGCUAAGCGAGCUUGAAGAUUUUAUUACCCAAGCCUUUACAACCCACUUUACAACCCAAGGCUUCAAGAUACUUACAAUUGACUUCCAAUGUGUCAAUAAACCUUUAUAAUAGAUAUGAUCUCUCACCCCUUUUUUCAAAGUGCUUCCCACACUUACAGUAACUUAAUUUUGAUAUUGAAAUGAAAAUUACAUAGAUUUUUUGUCACACAAUGUAUGUGUUUACAAAUGAAAGCCCAAAGUUCUAUUUAAUAAAGGAAUAAACAAAAUUUAUCUCAGAACAGAUUGAAUAUGCAAUGAUAAGCUUGAUGGUAAUAGUUGAACACACUUGUAAAUUGUAUUUGAUAGAGCCUUUUAUAGUUAGAGAAGAAAACUAGCCGUUGUUAACUUUCUAGACAAUAUUUGUUCACCGUUAACCUUAGUUGGUUUGCCAUUUUGACUUCUGCUAAGUAACCGUUAUGCUAAAAUUUGAAUUGUUGUAUCAUCAUUUGAAAUUUUUUGUUUACGUAUAAUUUUAGAGAGUUCACUAAUCGAAGCCGGCUUGCCGUUUUCGCAUAAUGGUUUGUCGUUGAAUUCCAUAAGCUCACCUGUUAGAAGUCGGCUUAUAGUUUGCAAAUAUCAGUUUGUCAUUUUUAGAUAAAUUCCUUUAUGAAAUUUUCGGUUAGCCAUUUUCUCGUAAAUGGUUAACCAUUAAUUUCUAGAACUUGUCAAUAACUCAACCAUAUGUUAUCGGUUUGUUGUUUUAAACAUAAUAGUUAUUGAUUUGUUUCCGAAACCUUAAUCUUGUCCAAAAUAUUAUACAACCUAAGAAAUCUAAUAAAUUUAAAGACUCUAUCAUUUUUAAUCUUGUUUGUUAUCAUUAAAAUCAAUGUUAUGGAUACAUUCCCUUUUUUGAUAAUGACAAACGUUACAUGUAUUCAAAGUGUGAAUGAUUUAAAAAUAUUAGCUCCCCCUAAGUAUUGUACAAGCUUUAAAAGGUGCCAAUAUACUAAGUUAUACCAAUUUUAACCAAUUCAAAAACAUUCAUUUUGUGUGUGCGUGUGCAUACAUCAAUUUUAACAACACAACUUCUCCUAAUUAAAAUGCCAAUUUUAACAAGUUUAUCUUCUCCCCUUUCAUCACAAAAAAAAAAAAAAUUUAGUGCUAAAGGGAAAGAAAUGCAGUGAAAAGCCAAAUUUUUACCCAUGUUGUCCAAGUUGAAAUUUCGGCAGAACCUUCCCCUGUCAACAAGCAUCACCUCAAAAACACUUUUAGCAACAUUACACCCAAAUCAUCAAAGUAUAGAAACCAACAUCUCAGGAUCAAAUCAUCUAAGUCAUCAUAGAUCCAUCAAAUAUAAAAUCAUCACACAAAAUAAUUAUGUAAUUAAAGAUCAAAUCAUUAUGUAAUUAAGCAUCACCUCAAAAACACUUUUAGCAACAUUACACCCAAAUCAUCAAAGUAUAGAAACCAACAUCUCAGGAUCAAAUCAUCUAAGUCAUCACAGAUCCAUCAAAUAUAAAAUCAUCACACAAAAUAAUUAUGUAAUUAAAGAUCAAAUCAUUAUCAUAAAAACUAAUAUCCAAUCUCAAAAAAUAAAAUUUGACAUAAAGUUAACAAAACAUAAGAUGAUAAAUGUCUAUGCUAAAAGUAAAGUAAAGAAAAACUAUUGCGGUGGAUGUGGUGGAAAGCUAGAAGGUAAAAUACAGAGAGUAGGAAGAAUGUGUUGUUGGCCAUUCAGAAGUUGCUGUUGCUAAUCGAAAAUGCAUUAUUGCUGAAGUUAAAAAGCAACAAACUGAGGCCGAAGCUACUGUUGCUACUCGAAAAGUGAUCAAACCUCACUCUUGAUAAGAAUUCAAAUGCUAUUGGUGUCAAUGUGCAAGUGUACCAAACAAGUAAUAUAAUGAUAAGUAUCCAAGAUCGUCUAUAGCAAUCUCCAUAGGAACUGAUGUUACUGAAAUUGCUAUAGCAAUCUUAACAUCGCAGUUCGCCUUAAAUCAAAAUAGAUUAACAAUUAAACUAAUAAACUUUGAAUUAAAUGACAUAACUAAAUAUGCAGAAAAGCAAACUUUAAUAUUACACACACAAGGAUAAAGUCAAUAAGAAUGAAGUAAUUGAGUGAUGAAACUCUCUUAAUGGUUUCGACUAUUUCUUCUAAUUCUAAGUUCAAUUGCUACAACAUCUGCUACAGCAUUGGGCAAAAUCCUUAAGUAUCCUCAGCUGUCACAUGUUGGAUGUCUUAUAUCUAUAUGCAACCUAACAGUGACCAAUUGUUAUGCCAACAUAAGAUAUAGCAUUACAUGUUUAGGUUCUAUUUACCCUACAAGGUGAAUCCCUAUAUAUAGUUUAUCACUAAUUUUAGAUUAAGCAUGACCCUUUUGAAAUCAAGUAAAAUUCAACUCAAGAAAUCCAAUAUAAGACUAAGUAUUACUCUCAUAUGUUCUACUAAGAUAGACCAUUUUGUGACUCUUUCUUAACUUGUAUCAUUAAAUUGGUGGUCGGCCGAAAUAAUGAAUAAAAUAAGCUUUACCAAAACAAAAUGCUAUAGUAAAUAUGCAGUAACAUAUAAAUUCAAUCACAGAACCAUUAAGAUUGUCUAUCACUCAACCACAAUUAAAUUAGUUCAUAACUUGCGAAAGUAAAAUAAAUAAAAGAGUUUUAGCCAUCAAUUACAUCCUCUUGAUUAAAAAGUGAACAAGAAAACAAAAGGAGAAUAAGAAAGACUAAGUUUCUCGAUUAAUCUCCACAAAUCCUCCUUGUUGCAGCCCUUAGUUCUGAUCUUUUGUUCUCUUUCUCUCUUGUUUCUUUUUGGUUUUUGUUCUUGGUUGACAGCCUCCUCUGUUGUUUGUGCAUGUGUGCCUCUUUUAUAGCAUAAAAUUAGGGUAAACAGAGGUUUAAGGUGCACAUCUUCUAGAUUAGAAAACUAUAGAUCACAAUCUAUUAAUUGCUUCGCACGAGAUCUUUCUGUUAAUGCUCUAGGAUUGCUAUAGCAAUGGUUGCUACAAUAAUAGCUACAACAUCUGCACUAUUCUAAAUUUGCUCCAAUUCUUCUAUAGCCAUAUUCUUAUCUACUUUUUGUAAGCCCUUUGCCACAACAUCCUUCUCAUGAAAUUUGACUUCCAGUUACCUACAAUUAUGCAUAUGUUUUCAGAACACAAUUAUUCAAAAUCAAGCAAACUUUAUUAAACUUAAACUAAAAUGGUUGUUAAUGCAAACUAUUAUUAAAAUCCAUUAAAUGUAUCAUGAUAACUCUCAUUUCAUAGAGUUAUCACACCCCAAACUUAAACCAUUACUUGACCUCAAGUAAUGACAACAACUUAAUCACAUAAUCACCUAAUAAUAACAUAGCUCUGCCAUCAAGUUUUCAUGAAUUCUUCAACCCUCGUAUCACACUACACAAAAUUGCCAUAGCAAUUCAGUUCUAGACUUAAGCAUCAUUCUAUCCCAAGUGUGUGUGUGCACUUUGAUAAAGUCUCAGAUAUGUUGCAGCAUCACUUAAGCAUCAGAUGUAUAUUAUAGAUAUAAAAACACUAUAACAAAAUCCAUCUCAUGGGGGAGACAACGGUCUUAAUAUUCUUAUAAUAAAAACAUAA